ACUAAUAAUAAUUUUUUAUACGAUUCGUUUCACCGUCUGCGGCGGGACGCGAAACAGCGAUUUUUUUUACUGUAUUUCCUUCCACCCUCUCGUCGUCUCCUAUAUCAAUAUAAAUAUAAGAACGCGCGUGUUAAACGGUUUUAAUGCGUGCAGUUUUAUACGAAUUGUAUGGAACGUUGUUAAGUCGAUUAAACAUGAUAAUAUAUUUGCGUUUGUUUUAGUUGGCCCGAAGAGUUGUUAUAAUUUUUUUUUUUUUUUAUACGAUUAUAAAACGCUCGAUAAAAAAAAAUAAUUAUUAUCUAACAAAAAUCGACUAACGCUUGUGUUUUUAGAAAUUAUUCGAGGAAUACAAUAAAGUAUUACAUUUUUUGUUUCGCAUUUUAAAAAAUAAACGAAACGGCGCUC
Cinara cedri is the source of this 405-nucleotide non-coding RNA. The record is from the annotation of a GenBank genome assembly. NCBI's taxonomy places the organism in Eukaryota, Metazoa, Arthropoda, Insecta, Hemiptera, Aphididae.